This is a long non-coding RNA of Alligator sinensis (Chinese alligator), 1695 nucleotides long. RefSeq lists it as uncharacterized. The transcript is spliced from 3 exons. NCBI's taxonomy places the organism in Eukaryota, Metazoa, Chordata, Crocodylia, Alligatoridae. The record is from RefSeq and is a predicted model, not a curated record.
CGCAAUGCCGGGUGCUCCGUUCCCCCAGAGAGAGGAACCCGCAGCUCCAAGUAGGAGAGGGCUGCAAAAACCUAUGUGGAGAAAAGCCUCAGGGAAGCAUGAAGCUGAGCUGCACUGCAAAAAGCACAGAGACAAACCCGGAGCAGUUGGGCAGUACUGAGAGGACUGGAGGCAGAGAGGCCCUGCAGAGCAGCAUGUUGAUCACCACGGGUCAAACUCCCCCCUUGCACUGUAAGGUGGCAGCACGGGAAACACCUAAAUGUGAAGGUCUGGAUGCAGCCUAUAACGCAAGCCCCUGCAUGUGAGGACCUGCCUAAUAUAAAAAUGGAUUUGAUUCAAACCACCCUCUUUAUGGCAACAGAAUUCGAGCAGUAUUAGAAGAGAAGACUGCUAGACUCUGCAUUGCUGCUGGAAGGUCUACAAGUGCAGGGAGAACUUCACUCAUCAGCUGCUGGCAGGGCACUUGCCUCAAUUUUGGAUUAUGCUCCCUUUUUGGGCCAGAGAGAGCCCAACUCUGCAGCCAAGCCCCACUUACUUAGCAUGCAUUGGGAAAGGGCUGGAGUCACUGGCACUGAGGAUUGUUUGGGAAAUCUGCAGGAUUGGAAAAUGUUGGGCUGGUUUGUACUGUGCUUUAACUGCUUGGGGAGUUUUUUGCGUUUGUGGGGGGAUGUCUGUUUUUGUUUUGUUAUGAUGUUCCAUUGAGGACAGAUUCAUAUUUCUUUACUGAAGCUUGAAGUGAAACUUUGAGUCAUAUCUUGUAUUCCUCCCUUGAGCAGCUCCAGUACCUUUCUUAAGAUGAGGUGAAUUCUCCUCACUUAGUCCAAGCUUUUCUCAUCUGCUUUGCCCACCUCGCUGGCCAUUCCCUUGUAGCUCAUUCUGUGGUUAGGUUGCCUGACCCUUAGGCUGAAAUAAAUCUAAUGGAUGAGGCUCUGCAAGAUCUUCUUGAAAAUGCAGCCUCCUCCCUCCCCUUUACAGCCACUCUGUGCCUCAUGAUGUCUGUCUGGUCUGUUGUUGGACCUCUUGAGCUGUCAUUCCCAUAGGGUGACUCAGCAUCAUCUACAAAGUCUUAAUCAAAGAAUGUUUUUGCUAGAUAGCCUGGUUAAUCCAAAUCCUGACCCUUAGGCUGACUCAGUCUUAUCUGGGUGUAUCCCAAAGCAGGCCUUUGCUUACAUUCCUUCUGCUGGCCUAUUUUUUCCAGACCUACUUCAUUUAACUUUGUGGUUAAAAGCAGCAGAUCAUGGCUCUGCCCUGGGCCCUGGCCCUGCACUGUCACCGUCCAUGAUCCUGGCCCUGGCUCCAGCCCCAGCCCCAGCCCUGGCCCUGACCACAUGUCUCAUUCCGACGUGUUGCUUGCUGCCCAUCUACCCAGCCGAGCAUGCCCUACUCAUGGGGAUCUCAUGUCCACCUCUUCCAUGGACCUCACCUGCCCACUCCAUCUCGUGUCACUGGUGGUGGGUGUGAGACAGAUGGCGCAGGCUGCCCAGGCAGUGGGGCUGGGGCUGGCAGCAGCAGCAACACAGGCAUCAGCAGCCAGAAGGAGCUGCUGCCACCGGGGCAUCUGAGAAAUGGAGUCCAGCCACUGCAGUGUCCCUGCCCCACAGCCUGGGCUGCCCCUCCGCAUCUGGGCCAGGUGGGUCUGAGGGACCCACCACAGGCUGGAUAAAAUCCCUUGGCAGGCUGGAUCUGGUCCACGUG